This 768-nucleotide long non-coding RNA is filed under the name Homo sapiens (human). RNAcentral's name for it is "MYO3B antisense RNA 1". Lineage: Eukaryota; Metazoa; Chordata; Mammalia; Primates; Hominidae. The record is from RNAcentral.
ACCUUUACAGAAAAUAUCUUCCACGGAAACAUCUAAAGGCAAAAAUCCUUCAAAUUCAAAUUUAUCCAAUCAUUUCUUCUGCUUACUACCAUCCUAAAUCAUUUUUCUUUAGUAAGAUCUAUUAGUGUGAAGCUAUUAAGCUAUUAAUGUAUGUAUCAUAUUAAUGUAUUAAGACAUUAAGUGAGGAAGUAAAGUUGCAUUCACAGGCCUUGAACUUUUCCACAUCUCGAUUUUUACCCAUCAUCUCUGCAUAGUUCCCUAAGGCAGCCUUCAAAUGGUGAUGUUUCUUAUAAUCCAGAGUUCAGAAGUGGCUUCUCUUCAAUCUUUCUGUGGAAUUCUAAACCACGUGAUAAAGGAGCUGGUGAGCCAGAUUUCCUUCUGCACCAGAGCCUGUGGAAGCGCCACAGUGGAAGCAGCAGAGACUGGAAGAGCAGGCAAGAAGCUGGGAGCUUUGCACUGAACCAGGAAGUCACCACAGCUCUUAGGCAAAGACCCGGAAAGGUGUCAACAUGGCCACACUACUGCUCCCACCUUGUCCUUACUUUCCUCAUCUCAUCCCACAGGCCACAGAUCAGCCCUGGGGUUCAGAGGGAUCCUGACAGCUACUCCUCAAGAUCCUCUCUGUUGUGAUUCAUCCCCCCGGGGCCCUACAGUUUCUCCUUCCUGACUCUUACAUUUCUUUGGAUGGCAUCAUUAUUUACCUGUCUCCUCCCAUAGUUAGGUGCCAAGCACUGUGGAUUCUGCCUCUCAGUGUCCAGACACCCAUUU